GAUGAACGCUAGCGGCAGGCCUAAUACAUGCAAGCCGAACGGUAAGAUUUGUAGCAAUACGAGUCCUAGAGUGGCGUAAGGGUGCGUAACACGUAUGCAAUCUGCCCGCAACUGGAGGAUAGCUCGGGGAAACCCGGAUUAACCCUCCAUAAGAUCACACAAUGGCAUCAAAGAGUGAUUAAAUCUCCGGAGGUUGCGGAUGAGCAUGCGGUUGAUAGCUAGUUGGUAGUGUAACGGACUACCAAGGCAAUGAUCAAUA
Molecule: ribosomal RNA, 259 nt
Filed under: uncultured bacterium
Lineage: Bacteria
Description: partial 16S ribosomal RNA
Rfam family: Bacterial small subunit ribosomal RNA
Source: RNAcentral